Molecule: ribosomal RNA, 460 nt
Filed under: uncultured bacterium
Lineage: Bacteria
Description: partial 16S ribosomal RNA
Rfam family: Bacterial small subunit ribosomal RNA
Source: RNAcentral
CCUACGGGAGGCAGCAGUGAGGAAUAUUGGUCAAUGGCCGGAAGGCUGAACCAGCCAUGCCGCGUGAAGGUCAGUGCCCUAUGGGCGUUAAACUUCUUUUGUGCGGGAGCAAUAAUGGGCACGUGUGGCCAGACGAGAGUACCGUACGAAUAAGCAUCGGCUAACUCCGUGCCAGAAGCCGCGGUAAUACGGGGGAUGCAAGCGUUAUCCGGAUUUAUUGGGGUUAAAGGGGGCGUAGGCGGGGAGGUAAGUCAGCGGUGAAAUGCCGCCGCUCAACGGGGUGAAGUGCCAUUGAUACUGCCUUGCUGGAAUGCAGAUGCCGUAGGAGGAAUGUGGGGUGUAGCGGUGAAAUGCAUAGAUAUCACACAGAACACCGAUUGCGAAGGCAUCUCACGGAUCCGCGAUUGACGCUGAUGCACGAAAGCGUGGGUAUCAAACAGGAUUAGAUACCCCAGUAGUC